This 1363-nucleotide long non-coding RNA is filed under the name Sus scrofa (pig). RNAcentral describes it as "lncRNA (ENSSSCG00000049018.1, ENSSSCG00045031428.1, ENSSSCG00065059523.1, ENSSSCG00130024101.1)". Lineage: Eukaryota; Metazoa; Chordata; Mammalia; Artiodactyla; Suidae. The record is from RNAcentral.
UUUUUUUUUUUUAAAUGAUUUCCUUUGCUGUGCAAAAGCUUUUGAGUUUGAUUAGUUCCCAUUGCUUUAUUGUCAUUAUUCUAGAAGGUGGAUCAAACAAGAUGUUGCUGUGAUUUAAGUCAAAAAGCAUUCUGCCUAUGUUUUCCUCUAGUUUAAUAGUAUCUGGCCUUAUAUUUAGGUCUUGAAUCCAUUGUGAGUUUAUUUUUGUGUAUGGUGUUAGAUAGUGCUCUAUUUUCAUUCUUUUACAUGUAGCUGUCCAGUUUGCCCAGCACCAUUUAUUGAAGAGACUAUUUUUCUUCCACUGUAUGUCCUUGCCGCCUUUGUCAUAGACUAACUGACCAUAGGUGCUUGAGAAUAGCAUUUUUCCCCUAUAUUCACAAUAAGCAAUUCAAAGUUGAGUUCCCGUCGUGGCGCAGUGGUUAACGAAUCCGACUAGGAACCAUGAGGUUGCGGGUUCGAUCCCUGGCCUUGCUCAGUGGGUUAAGGAUCCGGCGUUGCCGUGAGCUGUGGUGUAGGUUGCAGACGCGGCUCAGAUCCCUCGUUGCUGUGGCUCUGGCGUAGGCCAGUGGCUACGGCUCCGAUUCGACCCCUAGCCUGGGAACCACCAUAUGCCGCAGGAGCGGCCCAAGAAAUAGCUAAAAAGACAAAAAAAAAAAGUCUUACUAAAGAACAUAAAUCAAGGUCUGAAGAAAUUGUAUAGUCUUGAAUGGGAAGACAAUAUCAUGAAAUAUCAAUUCCCCCAAAUUAACAUUUUAAUGUAAUACCACUAAUUUGAAAUUCAACUAGGUGAGGUUUUGAAAUCAAAAUUGGACUAAGUGAUUUUAAGGUUCAAAUGAAAGAGAAAUGAUGUUAAUUCAUAGAGUAGAAUUGAGUCCAGAAGUAGAGUCUAGUAUGUAACAAGUUAAUACAUGAAAAAGUUAUAUUUCAGUAAGAAAGAAUGUUACUUGGUAAAGGCUGGCACAGCUCUCCAUCUGAAGAAAAUGAAAGUACAACCCAUACAAUCGCACAAAAAGCAAAUUCCAGAUAUAUUAAAUUUUUUUAAUUUUAAUUAAAUAUAAAGUGAAACAAAAAGAAAUCUAAGAGACUGGAAGUAUAGUCAGGAGAGAGGGAAGACCUUAGCCAAUUCAAGUAAUUUAAAAGGUGUUUUAUAGAGUUCCUGUUGUGGCUCGGUAGAAACGAACCCAACUAAGAUCCAUGAGGAUGUGAGUUCCAUUCCUGGCCUCGAUUAGUGGGUUAAGGAUCUGGCGUUGCCAUGAGCUGUGGUGUAGGCUGCAGACUUGGCUCAGAUCUGGCGUUGCUGCCUGGCAGCUGCAGCUCCACUUCAACCCCUCGCCGGGAACUUCCAUAUGCUGUGGGUGUGGCC